GAUGAACGCUGGCGGCGUGCCUAAUACAUGCAAGUCGAGCGAACAGACGAGGAUCUUGCUCCUCUGACGUUAGCGGCGGACGGGUGAGUAACACGUGGAUAACCUACCUAUAAGACUGGGAUAACUUCGGGAAACCGGAGCUAAUACCGGAUAAUAUAUUGAACCGCAUGGUUCAUUAGUGAAAGACGGUUUUGCUGUCACUUAUAGAUGGUUCCUCGCCGCAUUAGCUAGUUGGUAAGGUAACGGCUUACCAAGGCGACGAUGCGUAGCCGACCUGAGAGGAUGAUCGGCCACACUGGAACUGAGACACGGUCCAGACUCCUACGGGAGGCAGCAGUAGGGAAUCUUGCGCAAUGGGCGAAAGCCUGACGGAGCCACGCCGCGUGAGUGAUGAAGGUCUUCGGAUCGUAAAGCUCUGUUAUUAGGGAAGAACAAAUGUGUAAGUAACUCUGCACGUCUUGACGGUACCUACACAGAAAGCCACGGCUAACUACGUG
RNAcentral lists this ribosomal RNA (497 nucleotides) under uncultured bacterium. Its description in RNAcentral is "partial 16S ribosomal RNA". It matches the Rfam family "Bacterial small subunit ribosomal RNA", at positions 28 to 507 of the family's 1533-position model. The record is from RNAcentral.